This 72-nucleotide transfer RNA is filed under the name Urocitellus parryii (Arctic ground squirrel). RNAcentral describes it as "Spermophilus parryii (Arctic ground squirrel) tRNA". It matches the Rfam family "tRNA". Rfam says of the family: Transfer RNA (tRNA) molecules are approximately 80 nucleotides in length. Their secondary structure includes four short double-helical elements and three loops (D, anti-codon, and T loops). Further hydrogen bonds mediate the characteristic L-shaped molecular structure. tRNAs have two regions of fundamental functional importance: the anti-codon, which is responsible for specific mRNA codon recognition, and the 3' end, to which the tRNAs corresponding amino acid is attached (by aminoacyl-tRNA synthetases). tRNAs cope with the degeneracy of the genetic code in two manners: having more than one tRNA (with a specific anti-codon) for a particular amino acid; and 'wobble' base-pairing, i.e. permitting non-standard base-pairing at the 3rd anti-codon position. Lineage: Eukaryota; Metazoa; Chordata; Mammalia; Rodentia; Sciuridae. RNAcentral also lists the same sequence under 2 other names. The record is from Rfam by way of RNAcentral.
GGGUUUGUAGCCCAGUGGUACAGCGCUUGCCUAGUGUGUGAGAGGCACUGGGUUCAAUUCCCAGCACUGCCU